This 465-nucleotide ribosomal RNA is filed under the name Prevotella sp. oral taxon G57. Its description in RNAcentral is "bacterial SSU rRNA". It matches the Rfam family "Bacterial small subunit ribosomal RNA", at positions 28 to 481 of the family's 1533-position model. The record is from RNAcentral. Lineage: Bacteria; Pseudomonadati; Bacteroidota; Bacteroidia; Bacteroidales; Prevotellaceae.
GAUGAACGCUGGCUACAGGCUUAACACAUGCAAGUCGAGGGGAAACGGCAUUUGGUGCUUGCACCGAAUGGACGUCGACCGGCGCACGGGUGAGUAACGCGUAUCCAACCUUCCCGUUACUGCGGGAUAACCUGCCGAAAGGCAGACUAAUACCGCAUGUUCUUCGAUGACGGCAUCAGAUUCGAAGCAAAGAUCCGUCGGUAACGGAGGGGGAUGCGUCUGAUUAGCUAGUUGGCGGGGCGACGGCCCACCAAGGCGACGAUCAGUAGGGGUUCUGAGAGGAAGGUCCCCCACAUUGGAACUGAGACACGGUCCAAACUCCUACGGGAGGCAGCAGUGAGGCAUAUUGGUCAAUGGGCGGAAGCCUGAACCAGCCAAGUAGCGUGCAGGAUGACGGCCCUACGGGUUGUAAACUGCUUUUAUGCGGGGAUAAAGUGAGGGACGCGUCCCUUUUGCAGGUACCGC